UGUGUAAAAUUAAAAGUUAUCAAAUUUAACUUUUGAAAAAAAAUUGGAAAACAGUUGAAGAACAAUUGCUUCUGAGUUUAAGAAACAGAACAUCAGAAGUGUCACUGCCAAACUAUAAACUCCUGUUAAGAGGACUAAACUCCUUUAUAGAAAGGACUAUGGUGCUGCUGGUAAGAUCUGAAACAUCACUGUGACUUAAUGGAAAGUAAUCACCUUUUGGUAGAAAUCACAUUAAUGUUCCUAACUGAUACUUAUAAAGUGAACCAAUCUGCUGUGCUUAAAUGAAAAAUACAAUUAUCCACAUACAAAGCAGUGUGUUGAAAAUAUAGAUUUAUCCCCCUGUAUGUUUUCUGUAACUUUUUACUAGAUGGCAACAUUUGCUGUAUCUAACCUGGUUACUAUAUAAGGCACAAAAAGAGCUCAGAAGAUAAGACUGAACAACUGCCAUUUUUCUUGCUUGAAGAUCUUCAGUACCACAAGAGUGGGCCCACUAUUUACUCCUGAGCAGUCACUGUCCUUGUAGUUGUAAUUUUGUGCUUGGGUAUUCUCCAAAGCCUCUUGUUCCUUUGAAAAUUAUGUAUUUUCAAACAUCGGUGUUCUGGUCCUUGGAUCAUGGCUAUACCAUGCCUCCUGGAGUUUCAGUUAAUGUGGAGCUUUCAGAACUGUGAACUGUUGUCUCCACAUCUGAUGCUGAAGCUCGAAGCCUAAGGCACAAGCAGUUAGGAAGGGAAGGUCAUAAGCAGGCUGGAACCCACAAGCAUGAGCUGGAACCCUGCAAAGAUGGACUGAAACCCUGUUUGUUCUUGUUGCCUCUGACCCUAGUGAUGAGUGUGUCCUGCAGAAGCCAGGCCCUUCAUCGUGGAGUUAACCUGACACCUGGCCCAGGAGUCAGAGGCGCUGAAGGAGGAUUCAGGGCAGGUGGAUCGAGUUUGGGCCCAGAUGCUGCUCAAUACCAUGACAGUGAGCCAUGAGCUCAGCAACAGUUUGUGUGAGCUACAGAAUGGCUGCAUCACUUCUGCUGCUCCAAGAAGCUCACACAGAGAAAAAGUAAAUCCCUUCGUAAGAAGCUGAGAUAACAGAAUGAGGAAACUGGUCCUAGGCCAGAAAAGAGGAAUGUUCUCAGGUGAAGCGCCAAGUAUGUCACUGAAAGCCCAGUGGAGUUAAGUGUGCAAAGUCAGUCUGAACAUAUGCUGUAAUGGAUUUGACCUCGAAUAGCACUACAAAGAGAAAUUGCAGAUAACCAUCUGAACUGACUUCUGAAGCUUGUAGUUCUGGCUCCUGAGAUACAGAGAGAAAAGUGAGACCAAACAGGUGGGAGCAAACAACUCAGAGAGACCAGAAUGAAUACGAGUCUAACUUUAAAAGUAAAUAAAAUUAAAUAAAAAUGAUUUAUUCUAUAGCUCUUUGUCUUUUAUUGGUUCCCACACAAUGUCCACACAAUAAACAG
RNAcentral lists this long non-coding RNA (1447 nucleotides) under Homo sapiens (human). Its description in RNAcentral is "HSALNT0110727". Lineage: Eukaryota; Metazoa; Chordata; Mammalia; Primates; Hominidae. The record is from RNAcentral.